This 352-nucleotide long non-coding RNA is filed under the name Junco hyemalis (dark-eyed junco). Its description in RNAcentral is "lncRNA (ENSJHYG00000016179.1)". Lineage: Eukaryota; Metazoa; Chordata; Aves; Passeriformes; Passerellidae. The record is from RNAcentral.
GCGGGCGCGGGGCGGGGCCGGGGCGGGCGCGGGGCGGGGCCGGGGCGGGCGCGGGGCGGCCCCGGCAGCGGGGAUGGCGGCGGCGGCGGCCGGGUGAGGGGCCGCGGCUGGCAGCGCCGAGCCCGCCGGCACCGGCUGGGGACAGGGACAGAGCGCCGGCCCCGCGGGCUCUGGUGCUCUGUCUGAUUAGCAGUUGCUGCUGUGACGUGGCAGGAGCGGCCCCUGGGCUCCAGCAGCCCUUCAAACCCCAGGGAAGCAGCUCUGGCUAAUGAUAUUUCCAGAAAGUGCCUCGAGGAAGCUUCCUUAUGUAGAAAAACCCCACAAGAAACACAGUGUGUGCUUCCUGGCAGCU